CCUACGGGUGGCAGCAGUGGGGAAUAUUGCACAAUGGGGGAAACCCUGAUGCAGCGACGCCGCGUGAGUGAAGAAGUAUUUCGGUACGUAAAGCUCUAUUCGCAGGGCAGAAAAUGACGGUACCUGAAUAAGAAGCCCCGUCUAACUACGUGACAGCAGCCGAGGUACUACGUAGGGGGCACGCGUUAUCCGGAUUUACUGGGUGUAAAGUGAGCGUAGACGGCAGCGCAAGUAAGAAGUGAAAUCCCAGGGCUUAACCAUGGAACUGCGUUGGAAACUGGGUAGCUGGAGUGCAUGAGAGGUAAGCGGAAUUACUGGUGGAGCGGUGAAAUGCGGAGAUAUUAGGAGGAACACCAGUGGCGAAGGCGGCUUACUGGACUGUAACUGACGCUGAGGCUCGAAAGCGUGGGGAGCAAACAGGAUUAGAUACCCUUGUAGUC
This 440-nucleotide ribosomal RNA is filed under the name uncultured bacterium. RNAcentral describes it as "partial 16S ribosomal RNA". It matches the Rfam family "Bacterial small subunit ribosomal RNA", at positions 338 to 795 of the family's 1533-position model. The record is from RNAcentral.